Molecule: non-coding RNA, 245 nt
Organism: Paramuricea clavata
Lineage: Eukaryota; Metazoa; Cnidaria; Anthozoa; Malacalcyonacea; Plexauridae
Source: the annotation of a GenBank genome assembly
GUGCGCGGUGUGAUGGGAAGAUUGAAAUGAAGCCGAGAAGGCUCUGCCACAUAAUGCAAUGUAGUAUGGUCAGAGGCGUCGGAACGGCUCUGGAAGUGUGAAGGGGCACACUUAUUGCCCGCCGAAGACGGGUGACAUUCUAGGAGGGUCCGGGGGCAUGCCCCCAGGAAAAAUUUCAAAACUAGAGUCUCUGAAAUGCCAUUUCCUGCACUUUAGAAGGAGAUUUACAGAGUUCUAAAGGUAAC